GACUGUGCUCUAAGCUUUGACAUUUUAUUUUGUGGCCAUUACUUUGAAAUACAGAUAUUCCUUAUACUACACCUGAUUCCCAGCUUGAAAGAAAUUGUGUUUGUUCACAGCCUUCGUUGUUGCAGAGAGAUGUACAAUGGUGACGUCUGCUCCCCUGCCAGCUCUUUUCAUUUUGUCUCUGGAGUCACUUGCUCGUGCUAUUAAAUAAUGAAGGGUUUCAAACUUUGUGCCCCAUCCCAUCAAAGUUUAAAGCACUUUAUUCUUUGAAUUGACUUUAUAUGUGGGUGGCAUACAAGCAUUUAUCUGGGAUUGAACCAAAAUGUUUUCUGUUGUGUUUCUCUAAUUGACGAGUUCAGACUCAUAUCAGGAUUUUCUAUCAAAUGGAAGGUCAGAACUAUUGCUAUUAGAUAUGAAUUCUCCCAAGCAAGAUAAUUGUCCUGGCACCAUUACCAAGAAUUUUAGUAUCAAAAAGCAACUUGACAACGGUACGACUGUACCAGUUGUACUGCGGUAUAGUUCCUUUUCCAUAAGCAUAUAGGAUCAAAUAAAUGUGAUAAAAAUUAAUGUUAUCACCUGACUGUUGGACAUCAUAAGAGAUCUGUCCUCCAUAUUCCAAAAUACAGAUUACCAUCUGAGAGAGUCUGCUGAUGUGGUGCAAAAGAUAUUUCUCCAUAGCCAAUUCAGAAGUAUUAAUUAAGUAGAUUUUUGUCUGCCAUCCUAUUUACUACAGUGCAUAUGUCUUAUCUCCAUAAAGAGUGUAAUAGGAAAGGGGAUGCUCCUGUUAAGACUACGAAAUGUAGCUUUCUGGUCUGUCAGAACCUGAAGUGACAGACCAGGUACCCACUGACACAUAGUGGGCAGUACCUAGGUUGCAGUAUAGAUAGAUAUCCCUCUGUUUGAAAUGCUGGUGACAAAGACUGAAAAUUGGGUCACUAAUUCAUAUGAUAAUACACGGAGUUAAUACAUAAUAUUAACUCCUUUUUAGCGUGACACUUUGGUAAUAGCCCUGCUUUUUAAAGACAUACACAUUUUAAGCUACAAUCACUAUUUGGAAUAUUUAGUCCCACUAUUUGGAACCUAGUAAAAAUUCACAAUUGUGGAGCUUAUUUCCAAAA
Molecule: non-coding RNA, 1115 nt
Organism: Anolis sagrei ordinatus
Lineage: Eukaryota; Metazoa; Chordata; Lepidosauria; Squamata; Anolidae
Source: RefSeq, a predicted model, not a curated record